RNAcentral lists this ribosomal RNA (426 nucleotides) under uncultured bacterium. RNAcentral describes it as "partial 16S ribosomal RNA". It matches the Rfam family "Bacterial small subunit ribosomal RNA", at positions 354 to 796 of the family's 1533-position model. The record is from RNAcentral.
GUGAGGAAUUUUCCGCAAUGGGCGAAAGCCUGACGGAGCAAUGCCGCGUGAAGGAUGAAGGCCUAUGGGUUGUAAACUUCUUUUCUCAGAAAAGAAUUAUGACGGUAUCUGAGGAAUAAGCAUCGGCUAACUCUGUGCCAGCAGCCGCGGUAAGACAGAGGAUGCAAGCGUUAUCCGGAAUGAUUGGGCGUAAAGCGUCUGUAGGUUGUUUAAAAAGUAUUCUGUCAAAGAUUAGGGCUUAACCCUAGAUAGGCAGAAUAAACUUUUAAGAUAGAGUUUGGUAGAGGCAGAGGGAAUGCCCGGUGGAGCGGUGAAAUGCGUAGAUAUCGGGAGGAACACCAAAGGCGAAGGCACUCUGCUGGGCCAAUACUAACACUGAGAGACGAAAGCGAGGGGAGCAAAUGGGAUUAGAUACCCUUGUAGUCC